GGGUUUAUUUUCUUGAUGGAUUAGAGGCUUGUAAUUGGAUUGGAGGAAGGCGUCUCUACACCUCUUGGGAAUUAAUUUGUAGAGUCUCAAUCUACGCGUUUGCUAUUUUUGGAGAUUCAUAGACUUUUGUGUGGCUCGCCUCAACUCGGAAGACUAGAAAUUUUUUGAAGG
Non-coding RNA from Camellia sinensis, 171 nucleotides. The record is from RefSeq and is a predicted model, not a curated record. NCBI's taxonomy places the organism in Eukaryota, Viridiplantae, Streptophyta, Magnoliopsida, Ericales, Theaceae.